AGAGUUUGAUCCUGGCUCAGGACGAACGCUGGCGGCGUGCCUAACACAUGCAAGUCGAGCGAGAGACUUCGGUCUCUAGCGGCGGACGGGUGAGUAACACGUGGGUAACCUGCCUCAUAGAGGGGGAUAGCCUCCCGAAAGGGAGAUUAAUACCGCAUAACCUCUCGGUAUCGCAUGGUAGCAACUUUAAAGGAGUAAUCCGCUAUGAGAUGGACCCGCGGCGCAUUAGCUAGUUGGUGAGGUAACGGCUCACCAAGGCGACGAUGCGUAGCCGACCUGAGAGGGUGAUCGGCCACAUUGGAACUGAGACACGGUCCAGACUCCUACGGGAGGCAGCAGUGGGGAAUAUUGCACAAUGGGGGAAACCCUGAUGCAGCAACGCCGCGUGAGUGAAGAAGGCCUUCGGGUUGUAAAGCUCUGUCUUUUGGGACGAUAAUGACGGUACCAAAGGAGGAAGCCACGGCUAACUACGUGCCAGCAGCCGCGGUAAUACGGAAGGGGCAAGCGUUGUUCGGAAUCAUUGGGCGUAAAGGAUGCGUAGGUGGAUAUUUAAGUGGGAUGUGAAAUACCCGAGCUCAACUUGGGUGCUGCAUUCCAAACUGGAUAUCUAGAGUGCAGGAGAGGUAAGUGGAAUUCCUAGUGUAGCGGUGAAAUGCGUAGAGAUUAGGAAGAACACCAGUGGCGAAGGCGACUUACUGGACUGUAACUGACGCUGAGGCAUGAAAGCGUGGGGAGCAAACAGGAUUAGAUACCCUGGUAGUCCACGCCUGUAAACGAUGGGUACUAGGUGAGGGAGGGUCAACUUUUGUGCCGCGUGAACAAAAAAAAGUACCCCCCCCGGGGGAGGUCCGGUCGCAAGAUUAAAAACUCCAAAGAGAAUUGGCGGGGGCCCCGCACAAAGCAGCGGAGCAUGUGGUUUUAAUUAGAAAGCACGGCGAAGAAACCUUUCCUAGACUUGACAUCUCCUGAAAUUACCCCUUAAUCGGGGAAGCCCCUUCGGGGCAGGAAGACAGGUGGUGCAUGGUUGUCGUCAGCUCGUGUCGUGAGAUGUUGGGUUAAGUCCCGCAACGAGCGCAACCCUUAUCAUUAGUUGCUACCAUUAAGUUGAGCACUCUAGUGAGACUGCCCGGGUUAACCGGGAGGAAGGUGGGGAUGACGUCAAAUGAUCAUGCCCCUUAUGUCUAGGGCUACACACGUGCUACAAUGGUCGGUACAACAAGACGCAAGACCGCGAGGUGGAGCAAAACUGUAAAACCUCUCCCAGUUCGGAUUGUAGGCUGAAACUCGCCUACAUGAAGCCGGAGUUGCUAGUAAUCGCGAAUCAGCAUGUCGCGGUGAAUACGUUCCCGGGCCUUGUACACACCGCCCGUCACACCAUGAGAGUUGGCAAUACCCAAAGUCCGUGAGGCAACCGCAAGGAGCCAGCGGCCUAAGGUAGGGUCAGCGAUUGGGGUGAAGUCGUAACAAGGUAGCCGU
RNAcentral lists this ribosomal RNA (1476 nucleotides) under uncultured prokaryote. RNAcentral describes it as "partial 16S ribosomal RNA". It matches the Rfam family "Bacterial small subunit ribosomal RNA". The record is from RNAcentral.